RNAcentral lists this ribosomal RNA (153 nucleotides) under Escherichia coli. RNAcentral's name for it is "partial 23S ribosomal RNA". It matches the Rfam family "Bacterial large subunit ribosomal RNA", at positions 2790 to 2925 of the family's 2925-position model. Lineage: Bacteria; Pseudomonadati; Pseudomonadota; Gammaproteobacteria; Enterobacterales; Enterobacteriaceae. The record is from RNAcentral.
AAACUUGCCCCGAGAUGAGUUCUCCCUGACUCCUUGAGAGUCCUGAAGGAACGUUGAAGACGACGACGUUGAUAGGCCGGGUGUGUAAGCGCAGCGAUGCGUUGAGCUAACCGGUACUAAUGARCCGUGAGGCUUAACCUUACAACGCCGAAG